RNAcentral lists this ribosomal RNA (253 nucleotides) under uncultured bacterium. RNAcentral's name for it is "partial 16S ribosomal RNA". It matches the Rfam family "Bacterial small subunit ribosomal RNA", at positions 524 to 776 of the family's 1533-position model. The record is from RNAcentral. RNAcentral also lists the same sequence under 1 other name.
UACGGAGGAUCCAAGCGUUAUCCGGAUUUAUUGGGUUUAAAGGGUGCGUAGGUGGCCUGUUAAGUCAGGGGUGAAAGACGGUAGCUCAACUAUCGCAGUGCCUUUGAUACUGACGGGCUUGAAUGAACUAGAGGUAGGCGGAAUGUGACAAGUAGCGGUGAAAUGCAUAGAUAUGUCACAGAACACCAAUUGCGAAGGCAGCUUACUAUGGUUUUAUUGACACUGAGGCACGAAAGCGUGGGGAUCAAACAGG